RNA transcript from Pygoscelis adeliae (Adelie penguin), 1436 nucleotides. It is a transcript of the gene named tropomyosin 1 (alpha), with no coding region annotated. The transcript has 10 exons. The record is from RefSeq and is a predicted model, not a curated record. NCBI's taxonomy places the organism in Eukaryota, Metazoa, Chordata, Aves, Sphenisciformes, Spheniscidae.
UCAGCCCCCUGGGAAAGUACAUAUCUGUGAGGCGCUCCCUGCCCGCCGCUUGCACUCCGCCGGCGCCCCGUCCCGCACGGAUCAGCCCCGCCGCCCGGCAGCUCCGCGCCGCUCCGCGCCGCUCCCUCGGGGGCCGCGGCAGCUUUUCAAGUUUUGCUUUCGGGUGCAGUUCGCGCGGGGACGCGCCCUAGCCCACCGCCGCCAUGGAUGCCAUCAAGAAGAAGAUGCAGAUGCUGAAGCUGGACAAGGAGAACGCCUUGGACAGAGCCGAGCAAGCCGAAGCGGACAAGAAGGCAGCGGAGGAGAGAAGCAAGCAGCUGGAGGACGAGCUGGUGGCUCUACAAAAGAAGCUGAAGGGCACUGAGGAUGAGCUGGACAAAUACUCCGAGUCCCUUAAAGAUGCACAGGAAAAGUUGGAACUGGCUGACAAAAAGGCCACAGAUGCUGAGAGUGAAGUAGCUUCUCUGAACAGACGCAUCCAGCUGGUUGAGGAAGAGUUGGAUCGGGCUCAGGAGCGCUUGGCUACUGCUCUGCAGAAGCUGGAGGAGGCCGAGAAGGCUGCAGAUGAGAGUGAAAGAGGAAUGAAGGUCAUUGAAAAUAGAGCCCAGAAGGAUGAAGAGAAGAUGGAAAUCCAAGAGAUCCAGCUUAAAGAAGCUAAGCACAUUGCUGAAGAGGCUGACCGCAAGUAUGAAGAGGUGGCUCGUAAGCUUGUGAUCAUUGAGAGUGACCUGGAGCGGGCUGAGGAACGUGCUGAACUAUCAGAAAGCAAAUGUGCUGAGCUUGAAGAGGAGUUGAAAACUGUGACCAACAACCUGAAGUCGCUGGAGGCUCAGGCUGAGAAGUACUCGCAGAAAGAAGACAAAUAUGAAGAGGAGAUUAAAGUACUGACUGACAAACUGAAGGAGGCUGAGACCCGUGCUGAAUUUGCUGAGAGGUCAGUAACCAAGCUGGAGAAGAGCAUUGAUGACCUAGAAGAUGAGCUAUAUGCUCAGAAACUGAAGUACAAAGCCAUCAGCGAGGAGCUGGACCACGCUCUCAACGAUAUGACUUCCAUGUAAAUGUCUUCCCAGCUUGUGCCUGCAUCUGCUUCCCUGCCCUCAUUGAUUGUGCGGUUCCGGCCUUGUGAAAUUAUACUCCCUCUGUAGCGGGAGACGCAUUCCUUUAGUGAGACUAGGUGCACAAAAUACCAUGAACAAUUUCUUUACCAUGGCAGAGUGUGGAUAAUUUUCUUUGCUUCACUUCUCCAAAGACAUCUUCAUCAGGUUGGAUAAAACAUCUUUCCAAGCUUUGGAUGUUUCAUGGGUUCAUUGUCCUGUCUUCUAGCUUAGUUGACUCUCUUCCUCUAGCACCUGUCUCAGAACAUGCUCUGUUUGUGCUCUGCUGUACAGAAACUCUACAUCUCUCAAUGUAAAAUAAACAUCCCAGCUGUAUCCCUU